UUGAACGCUGGCGGUAUGCUUAACACAUGCAAGUCGAACGGAAACGAUACUAGCUUGCUAGUAGGCGUCGAGUGGCGGACGGGUGCGUAACGCGUAGGAAUCUGCCUGAUAGUGGGGGAUAGCCCGAAGAAAUUCGGAUUAAUACCGCAUAAUCUAUUCGUAGUAAAGUGGGGGACUUUCGAGCCUCACGCUAUCAGAUGAGCCUGCGUAAGAUUAGCUUGUUGGUAGGGUAAAAGCCUACCAAGGCGACGAUCUUUAGCUGGUCUGAGAGGAUGAUCAGCCACAUCGGGACUGAGACACGGCCCGAACUCCUACGGGAGGCAGCAGUGGGGAAUAUUGGACAAUGGGGGCAACCCUGAUCCAGCAAUACCGCGUGUGUGAAGAAGGCCUGAGGGUUGUAAAGCACUUUCAAUUGUGAAGAAAAGUUAGCGGUUAAUAACCGUUAGCCUUGACGUUAACUUUAGAAGAAGCACCGGCUAACUCCGUGCCAGCAGCCGCGGUAAUACGGAGGGUGCAAGCGUUAAUCGGAAUUACUGGGCGUAAAGCGUGCGUAGGCGGUUUAUUAAGUCAGAUGUGAAAGCCCCGGGCUUAACCUGGGAACUGCAUUUGAAACUGGUCAACUAGAGUAUGGUAGAGGAAAGUGGAAUUUCUGGUGUAGCGGUGAAAUGCGUAGAUAUCAGAAGGAACAUCAAUGGCGAAGGCAGCUUUCUGGACCAAUACUGACGCUGAGGUACGAAAGCGUGGGUAGCAAACAGGAUUAGAUACCCUGGUAGUCCACGCCGUAAACGAUGAUAACUAGCCGUUGGGGGGAUUUACCCUUUAGUGGCGAAGCUAACGCGUUAAGUUAUCCGCCUGGGGAGUACGGCCGCAAGGUUAAAACUCAAAGGAAUUGACGGGGACCCGCACAAGCGGUGGAGCAUGUGGUUUAAUUCGAUGCAACGCGAAGAACCUUACCUGGUCUUGACAUCCUGCGAACUUUCUAGAAAUAGAUUGGUGCCUUCGGGAACGCAGUGACAGGUGCUGCAUGGCUGUCGUCAGCUCGUGUCGUGAGAUGUUGGGUUAAGUCCCGUAACGAGCGCAACCCCUAUCCUUAUUUGCCAGCACAUCAUGGUGGGAACUAUAAGGAGACUGCCGGUGAUAAACCGGAGGAAGGCGGGGACGACGUCAAGUCAUCAUGGCCCUUACGACCAGGGCUACACACGUGCUACAAUGGGAAGGACAAAGAGCCGCGAAGCCGCGAGGUGUAGCUAAUCUCAUAAACCUUUUCGUAGUCCGGAUUGGAGUCUGCAACUCGACUCCAUGAAGUCGGAAUCGCUAGUAAUCGUAGAUCAGAAUGCUACGGUGAAUACGUUCCCGGGUCUUGUACACACCGCCCGUCAAGGG
Molecule: ribosomal RNA, 1383 nt
Filed under: uncultured bacterium
Lineage: Bacteria
Description: bacterial SSU rRNA
Rfam family: Bacterial small subunit ribosomal RNA
Source: RNAcentral